GGGCCCGCACAAGCGGUGGAGCAUGUGGUUUAAUUCGAUGCAACGCGAAGAACCUUACCAGGACUUGACAUACUACAAAUUCUUUUGAGAAAAAGAAGUGCCUUCGGGAAUGUAGAUACAGGUGGUGCAUGGCUGUCGUCAGCUCGUGUCGUGAGAUGUUGGGUUAAGUCCCGCAACGAGCGCAACCCUUAUUUUUAGUUACCAAUUCGUUGGGUUCUCUAGAAAGACUGCCGGUGACAAACCGGAGGAAGGUGAGGAUGACGUCAAGUCAGCAUGCCCCUUAUGUCCUGGGCUACACACGUGCUACAAUGGCAGUGACAGAGGGACGCUACCAGGUGACUGGAUGCAAAUCUCAAAAAGCUGUCUCAGUUCGGAUUGUUGUCUGCAACUCGACAACAUG
This 400-nucleotide ribosomal RNA is filed under the name uncultured bacterium. RNAcentral describes it as "bacterial SSU rRNA". It matches the Rfam family "Bacterial small subunit ribosomal RNA", at positions 917 to 1322 of the family's 1533-position model. The record is from RNAcentral.